UGCAGUCGAACGAUGAAGCCCUUCGGGGUGGAUUAGUGGCGAACGGGUGAGUAACACGUGGGCAAUCUGCCCUGCACUCUGGGACAAGCCCUGGAAACGGGGUCUAAUACCGGAUAUGACCGUCUUGGGCAUCCUUGACGGUGUAAAGCUCCGGCGGUGCAGGAUGAGCCCGCGGCCUAUCAGCUUGUUGGUGAGGUAGUGGCUCACCAAGGCGACGACGGGUAGCCGGCCUGAGAGGGCGACCGGCCACACUGGGACUGAGACACGGCCCAGACUCCUACGGGAGGCAGCAGUGGGGAAUAUUGCACAAUGGGCGAAAGCCUGAUGCAGCGACGCCGCGUGAGGGAUGACGGCCUUCGGGUUGUAAACCUCUUUCAGCAGGGAAGAAGCGAGAGUGACGGUACCUGCAGAAGAAGCGCCGGCUAACUACGUGCCAGCAGCCGCGGUAAUACGUAGGGCGCAAGCGUUGUCCGGAAUUAUUGGGCGUAAAGAGCUCGUAGGCGGCUUGUCGCGUCGGUUGUGAAAGCCCGGGGCUUAACCCCGGGUCUGCAGUCGAUACGGGCAGGCUAGAGUUCGGUAGGGGAGAUCGGAAUUCCUGGUGUAGCGGUGAAAUGCGCAGAUAUCAGGAGGAACACCGGUGGCGAAGGCGGAUCUCUGGGCCGAUACUGACGCUGAGGAGCGAAAGCGUGGGGAGCGAACAGGAUUAGA
Molecule: ribosomal RNA, 708 nt
Filed under: Streptomyces misionensis
Lineage: Bacteria; Bacillati; Actinomycetota; Actinomycetes; Kitasatosporales; Streptomycetaceae
Description: bacterial SSU rRNA
Rfam family: Bacterial small subunit ribosomal RNA
Source: RNAcentral